AUUGAACGCUGGCGGCAUGCCUAACACAUGCAAGUCGAACGGCAGCACAGCAGUAGCAAUACUGUGGGUGGCGAGUGGCGGACGGGUGAGGAAUACGUCGGAAUCUGCCCAGUCGUGGGGGAUAACUAGCCGAAGGUUAGCUAAUACCGCAUACGACCGAGAGGUGAAAGCGGGGGACCGCAAGGCCUCGCGCGAUUGGAUGAGCCGACGUCGGAUUAGCUAGUUGGCGGGGUAAAGGCCCACCAAGGCGACGAUCCGUAGCUGGUCUGAGAAGAUGAUCAGCCACACUGGAACUGAGACACGGUCCAGACUCCUACGGGAGGCAGCAGUGGGGAAUAUUGGACAAUGGGCGCAAGCCUGAUCCAGCAAUGCCGCGUGUGUGAAGAAGGCC
RNAcentral lists this ribosomal RNA (391 nucleotides) under uncultured bacterium. RNAcentral describes it as "bacterial SSU rRNA". It matches the Rfam family "Bacterial small subunit ribosomal RNA", at positions 29 to 416 of the family's 1533-position model. The record is from RNAcentral.